This 497-nucleotide ribosomal RNA is filed under the name uncultured bacterium. Its description in RNAcentral is "partial 16S ribosomal RNA". It matches the Rfam family "Bacterial small subunit ribosomal RNA", at positions 28 to 507 of the family's 1533-position model. The record is from RNAcentral.
GAUGAACGCUGGCGGCGUGCCUAAUACAUGCAAGUCGAGCGAACAGACGAGGCGCUUGCUCCUCUGACGUUAGCGGCGGACGGGUGAGUAACACGUGGAUAACCCACUUAUAAGACUGGGAUAACUUCGGGAAACCGGCGCUAAUCCCGGAUAAUAUAUUGAACCGCAUGGUUCAAUAGUGAAAGACGGUUUUGCUGUCACUUAUAGAUGGAUACCCGCCGCAUUAGCUAGUUGGUAAGGUACAGGCUUACCACGGCGACGAUGCGUAGCCGACGGGAGAGAGUGAUCGGCCACACGGGAACGUAGACGCGGACCAGACGCCUACGGGAGGCAGCAGUAGGGAAUCUUCCGCAGUAGGCGAGAGCCUGACGGAGCAACGCCACGUGAGAUAUGAAGGUCUUCGGAUCGUAAAACUCUGUUAUUAGGUAAGAACAAAUGUGUAAGUAGCUAUGCACGUCUUGACGGUACCUAGUCAGAAAGCAACGGCUAACUACGUG